GAUCAAAGCUGAGGAUGCCCCUCCUGGUUUCUCACUCAAAGGACUGUUAAUGGAAUCUCCAUUAAAUUGUCUUUGAUCUAAUGAAUAAGAGAUCAUUAUUCCAAUUUCCCAUUUAUAGAACAGAUGCAAUAAUGCUUUCUCAAUUACCUCUGAAGUAAAGCAAAUUUAAAAAACUGUGAUUGAAAUUUUGCACUCAUUAAAUUCGUACAUAUAUGUAUACCUGUGUAAUGAUAUAUGUGUAUGUUAACUUCCUUGAAACUUCAGUAUUGGCUAUGUAUAUGCAUUUCUAGAAACACAGGCUUCCAUUCAACAGAUGGAGAUAUUCUGCCAGCUGAUAAAGUAUUGAGUAUCCAGAGAACUAUUUGGAAAAAUGUUGGUUCAUCAUAAGGUUCCUGUACAGAAUAUGAACCAGUCUGGUGUUGGUGAGCCAAAUAGGAAUUUGCUGUGGCAGCCCUGGGCUUGUUUAUAUACACACAGUGGUCUUGAAAUAGUUACUGGAUGUUAAAGAAAGCUCCCAAACUGUAAUGACGACAUUGGCUCUCCUCCUGAAGGAACCAGCAAGUUCAUCUACCAUCAACUACAAAGUGAUCCUGUGUUCCACCACUACACAGCUUGGUGGUCUGCAAUGCCAGUACAGGAAAUAUGGGGAAAAUAUACUGGAUCUUUUUCAGUGCAAAUUAAUAAAACACUCUAAAUGUGUGAUUGAAAUUAGCCUUUAUCUGAAGACCUAGAAGGAUCACUUUUAAAAUGAUUGCUCAAAUCUGUUGAAAGAGAAGUUUCUGCUCAAGAGUAUAUCUGAAAUAGAAAUUGGUACAAGGCAUUACAGAAAUACUGAGAAAUUGAGAGGUUUUCAGAGUAUCAGGCUAUUAAAAAAAAAAAAAGUCACUGAAUCACAGAAGGCUAAAUAUUCCCCAGCUUAGCAUUGCCCAAGUAAAAAAUUAAUAAUCAGUCUCUCAACAGUUGUAUAAUGUACCCUUCCUGAAGGACUGGGGAGGGUCCAGGAGACUGUAUGUCUAAUUUUGUUGAAAUCAAACUUUAAAGUCAGGUAUUUAAGAGGUUAGUAACUGUUAAAAUUAGAAAUUCUUUUCUAUUAAAAAUUUUUCGCUGUAUUGAGCUUUAAUGUAACAGUUGCACAUAUGACCAAACAAAUGACUCAUGCUUCACUGCUAUUUACCUUUUCAACAAUAUAUUGUCAUGAGUUACAAUACCUCCAGUACAUGCAGUUGUAUGAAUCUGUCAUUAACACUAUAGCAAUUAUGAAGUAAAUAUGAACAGCAGUCAUUGAAAACCUCUCUUCAUUAUCUUGAUGUUUUUGAUCCUGAAAAAUUGCAUUUGGGAAUAUUUUUUUUUAAUAUAUAAAACACCAUCUAAUAGCUGGAAAAUAUUUUUAAGUUCCUUUCAACUGCAGGUUAGAAGAUAAUCACCUUUUGGGAGCAUGCAUUGGCAUUCAACGUGGUCAAAAUGAAAUACCACUGUUAGUUCUUUUGGCAGCUGAAGAAAAAAGUGAUUCAAAGCUUUUGUUACAACACUGAAGAUUAAGUGAUCACAUCUGUUGCGUAGCUUUUGAAGGAUGCAGCAUACAUUCAGGCAAUUAGUUAGAAGCCUUUUUUUUUUUUUCCAUUAACUUGCAGGCAGAGUAGUCUCUAAAGUGUGUUAUCAGACUUAAGAGUUACAAGUGAUGUUAUCAAAGUUCAAGUCACUUAAUUACAGCAUAACUUUAACUUGCUCAAAUACCCCUAGUGCAGUUUCCUUGCUGUCUAAAAUAAUCAAGCAGAUAAUGGAUUUCACACUAAUGGAAACUGUCAGAAACAUUUUAAGGCAUUAAUGACAAUAGGCAUAUUAUGUCCUUGAACUCAUUUCAUCUGAAGGAGAAAUAUGUUUUGCCCUUAGCAGUUCCAUCUUCAGAAUGAAUGUAGCAAACAAUAUCAGUUAAUUUGCUGAUGCACUGAUGUGGUUUAUAUGAUUAUUAUUAUUAUUGUAGAUUAUUCAUUCUAUACAGAAUGAAUUUAUUUUGUUGCUUCUGUAGAAGCUAUCUUUGAAUUUAUUCACAACAAAAUAAGGUUUCAGUUUUUCUAUUCAGAUCCUAUUAUGCUAGAAUUAUGAUCUGUGUUGCAAACUAUCUUGUAUAUUAUAAUCCAUUGCAAACAAAUGGGAAAUCACUUCUGCAUCGACCACAGAAGGCCUUACGGCGCAGCUAUUGAAGUUAUCUGGUACUGAUCUGUGCAAGUAAUUUUCUUACUUAUUCCAUUAAAUACAAAAUCUUUUUGACUUGACUUCUGGAUGGAAUUCUAUCACUAAAGUAUUGGUCCCAGUGAUGAUUCAUGGUGGGUUAUGAUUCAACCAACAAUAAAAAAAUAUUAACUCCAUAUUAAUUGUGUUUA
Molecule: long non-coding RNA, 2381 nt
Organism: Cyanistes caeruleus (blue tit)
Lineage: Eukaryota; Metazoa; Chordata; Aves; Passeriformes; Paridae
Source: Ensembl